This 3347-nucleotide long non-coding RNA is filed under the name Homo sapiens (human). RNAcentral's name for it is "non-protein coding LINC02285:7". Lineage: Eukaryota; Metazoa; Chordata; Mammalia; Primates; Hominidae. The record is from RNAcentral.
AAGCUUGUGCCUGUGCCUGGAAGCAAGGAGGGCUGGAACUGGGGCCCUGCUGGGAAGCCCUGUAUCUGCAGAACUGUGUCCCGUGGGGGCCAGGGGACACAGAUUUUUGCAGCCCUCUGAUGCUGAAGCCUUUCUGGGGCUGGGAUGACCCAAUGCCCACCUGGACCGUGCACUUCCUGGUGACCCUCUGAGACAACUUCCUGGGCAGAGUUGAUCAUCAUGGAGUCAGUGCAAGUCUGGGAACAGUGGCCUGAAACUGCGCAGCUCCAGUGUGUCGGUGGAGGCCCUUCAGUGAGGAGUCCCCCAGUCUGGGUGGAGAGCCAGCCCGAUCGGCUUGAUUCCUCCACUCUUGACACCGUGAGCCUCAGAUUCUGAGAGCUUGGGAGGAUGGACAGAGACUGCGGUCAGCAGGAGAAUGGGAAGCAGAUGGGAGAGGAAGAAGCUUGCCUUUGGUGGGGACCAGGAGGCUGGGAGCCCAGGCCCAUUCACUGUAACAUGUGCAGUAAAUCCCAUUAUAUUCAUGCAAAGAAUUCUACACAGCAAGGAAAAGGAAAGAGCUGUUGGCAUGCCACAACACAGGUGGAUCUCACAGACCUACUGCUGAGCUAAAGAAGGCAACCACGCACAUGUACAUGCUGCAUGGGGCCGUUUCUAUCUGCCCAGAACCAGGCAAGAACCAUCUAUGCCAACAGCUUCAUUGCUGCUGUUUCUGGGGUUGUUGACUGGAGGGGCGAGGGGACCCUCUCGGAUGUGGAAAUGUUCUGUGAUGAGAUAGAGGUUUCCUGCAUGUCUGUGCCUGUGAGAUGCAUCCAGCUGCACACUUCAGAUGCGUGCAUUUUAUUGCAUAUGUUAUGCCUUGAUUUUUAAAAGUCUUUAAAUAUUUAAUCCUGAACAUCCCUACGAAACAAAUAAUAAAACAGCCCUAGGCUCCUGAUGUCUUGCCCAGGUCACCUACCACCCUCAGGCCUCUCUAGGAGUCAACAUCUGGAUGCUGAUGCCUGCUUCCCCCUCCAUACCUCACAGCCAUCACCCAAGAGGGGGCUGUAAGACGUCUCUCUGGCCGGCACUGGAGCCAGCUUUGAGCUGCCCGAGCCUGCUUCCUACGCAGGGUGCUUUAAAUCUUCCGGAUCACUGAGCCUUCAUUUCAGAAUGCUUUAUUGCUCAUCUUCCUACCACGCAGGGCUGCUGCCUGUGUCAGCUCGCACCGAGGGAGGAAAAUAAUUAUACCCCACAGCGUCAGUUACAUCGAAGGGUAGAGAGGCACCAGGCGCCUUCCCCUUCAGGAUGCGCAGAGCCAAGGGGGUUUCCAAUCCUGCUCCUUGCUGACCAGGGCCUCUGCAUCAUGACACUGACCGUCCCACACAUCUGGCUGCCGCCUCCUCGCUAUUACCUCAUGUCUUCCUCUGCAGGCUCCCAGACUGGGGUCCUAAGAUCUGGAGAUGCUGCCUGCAGGUCAGGAUCCAAGGGGAGUUUGGAUAUGACUGUGGCCCAGACAGAGCUCAGAGUCUACAAAAGCCCCACAGAGCCCACCUGUGACUUGUGACUAGGCAAUGAGGUUAUGCCGGCCUCACGUCCUCUGAAUGCUAUUGUGCCUGAGCCCCUGGGCUGCCUCCUAUCCUCCUGCUCUGGACUUUGCCUCCCGAUGCCCUGCCCUAGAUGUUUCUGUUGGGGGACUCCAGAGGGCUGGUGAGAACUGGGGGGUCCCUGUAGGGUGGAGAGGGUCAGAAGUCACCUAUCAGUGUGGCAGACAUGGCUGGUCCCAGAGCCCGGGGCUCCUGCUCUAAUGGGAGGACCCCAGUGAAAGCACCCACCUGCUUCUGGCAGGGUAGCUUAACCCCCAUUCCAAUAGAACCUCUAGAGAAUCUAAUAGCCCCAUCCCUAUGGGCCUCUGCACAGCUCCCAAUCCAGCCCCAGUCCCCUUUAUGUCCCCACCACAGCCUCGUCCUGGAUGACAGACGGUGGGAAGGGUUGUUACUGUCAGGACAGAUGCAGUCACCAUUUUCUGCAGCAAGGAUCCUUAGUCAUAAGUAAUAUUGUGCGUGGGACACCAACAGCCCAGCCCAAGAAGCAUUGGUCAAACUGGGCCCAGGGAAAACCUUCCAGGAUGAGCUGAAGAGAAGGUCAGCCUGCUCAUCUGGAUGGACAUGCUGCAGCCUCAGCCCCUGGCCACCUGGGGAAGUCAUGGGACUGACACCCCCCUUCCCAGCACACACAGACACACCCGCAGGCACGCACGCAGGCAACACACACUUACACACUCACACAUGCUCGUAUACAUACAUUCACAGACAGAAACACACACCCUUACAUACAGGCACUCAGACACACACUCAGAGCCAUGCACACAUGCACUCAUAUGGGUACAAGUACUCAUGUGCUCACCCACACCCACAUACGCACUCCCCUUGGUGCACACACGUACAUACACACAUGUACAGCCAUGCAGUGCACGCACUGGUUUUUGGGUACAGGCCAGCUUCUGUAACCUGGAUCUAGGGACAACCUCCUGUAAGUCUGCAGAGGCGAAGUCUGGCCAACACACGCAGCUGCCCUCCUGAACAGAAUAUCGUCAGCCUCAACAUCAGCAUCGGGGUUCCCUCCUUACACAGGGGUCCCCCCUUAUCGGGGGGGGUGCAUUCCAAGACCCCCAGUGGAAGCCUGAAACUUGGGUAGGACUGGACCUUAUUCUACUGUGUUUUUUCCUGUAUAUGCAUACCUAUGAUGAAGUUUAUCAGGCACGGGAAGAGAUUAACCACAAUAGUUAAUAACCCAGAUAGAACAAUGAUAACAAUAUGCCAGCACUGCUUCUCCACACUUUGUGGCCAUGAUGAGAUAAAAUAAGGGUGACUUGACCACCAGCACUAUGACAUCAUGACGGUAGACCUGGUCAUCGAGAGGGCUCCUAGGUGACUAAGAGGUAGGAAGGGCGCCUACAGUGUGGAGACGCUGGACAAAGGGGGACGCGUGUCCAGGGUGGGAAGGUGAGAGAUUUCAUCCAGCCGUGCAGAACGACAUGCAAUUGAAAACUUAGGGAUUGUUUCUUUCUGGGAUUUCUGUUUAAUAUUUUUGGACCUCAGUGGACCACGGGUAAGGGACUCAUAUGCCCUGGCGUGGGAGGAGGUUCCCGUCUAGGGGGUGGCAUGGCCUGAGGGGUGGGUCAGGCAAGUGUGACCCUGCUGCGCGUCCCCUCUGCCCACCCUCCUCCUGCCUCCGGCCCAGUCGCUGGUUCCCAAGGAAACCUCUCUAAAGUCGUGGCCAGUGAAACCACAGCGCCCUACCAGGCCCCAUCCCUGGACCCAUCCUGCCAUCUCCCCGCCGUCUGCCCAGGGACCCAUGGCUCCUCCCCA